Camellia sinensis is the source of this 1492-nucleotide non-coding RNA. The record is from RefSeq and is a predicted model, not a curated record. Lineage: Eukaryota; Viridiplantae; Streptophyta; Magnoliopsida; Ericales; Theaceae.
UCCUGUUUAAGUAUUGAUUAGAUUCAUGACUUGAUUUUUCUGCUCUAGAAAUUUUUAGUUCACACAUUAAUUCUCAAGUUGUAGGAUGACUCUUAUGUUUUCCAGUCAACAUAUUACAAAAUCAAGGGACUACCAAGGGACUUAAACUAGGGAAUUGAUCCGCUGUUUUCUUACCAGUGGAAGCUGCUAGAUGGCAGAGAAAGCAUGUGUAAAGCGCCUUCAGAAGGAAUAUAGAGCCCUUUGUAAAUUACUUGGUUGGAUGCAUCGCAAGUUCCGGGCGAAUGAACCACUGAAGGAUUUUAGCGUAGGGAAUUCUUGUACUUGUCUUUCAGGGAAGCCAUCACUGGAUGACCAACAGUACUACCCAAAGUCAAAUUUUGGCACUAAAUCCUUAGGCAAAGCACAAAGAGACAACCAUCUGCAAAAAUCACUUUUCAGCCUAGAAGCAGCAAGAGUAGAAGCAGACGACUUUGAAGAAGAAUCUUCAGUUGCGAUUUCCAAGCUCUUUCAUGGCUUCCUUACCAUAGGUACUCUUGGUUCGGACCCAGUCAUCACAGACCCAUCAACGCCAACAUUUGCCACAUCAGUUGAGAACAUAACUGAAAAAGAAACAGAAGUAACAGAGAAUGAACUGAAGCUUAUUAAUGAUGAGUUGGAGAAGGUGAUAGGGGCUGAAGGAGAUGGUUGCAAUGACUCAUCUGGGAGAAACAGUCAUGUUAGUACUGGAAGAAAUAGUUAUGUUAGCACUGGAAGAAGCAGCCAUGGUAGCACCAUUACACUUAGCGAAAAGCCAUUGGAAGGCACAGAGACCAAUGGGAAUGGAACAACAAUCUGUCCACUCCAAGGCUAUCUGUUUGGAUCAGCAAUUGAGUUGCCAGAAACAACCACAGUGGUAAAGCAGGAACAUAGAACAUCGCUUGGGGAGCUAUUUCAAAGGACAAAAAUAGCAGAGGAAAAUUAUGUAGCCAAAAGCGAGAGGGGAGAAAAACGGACAGAAAAUGAGACAGAUAAAUCAGUCAUACACCUCAUGAAAAAGAUGCUGAAGAAAAGAAUGGUUCAUGGUUCUUCUCGGAGCUGCACCACAUCGACUGGGGGAAAUGUUGACUCUGCUUCAUCUGAGACAAAACUGCAUAAGACAGAUAUAGGAACAGAAGCUGAGCUGGAUCUGAAGCUGCAGCUGUGAGAUGGGCGUGAGUGCUGCUGAUAUGGUGGUGGCACUGAUGCCUUAGACUGUAGCAGCAUAAGCUGUGACUUUAGAACGCAAGAGAGGGGUCGUGCAAGAGAUGGAAAUUGAUGGAAAAAUCGCGGCAAAUUUAGAGCGCCUUUUUUGUUCAAGAUAAAUCAGCAGAUGUUCAUAAAACAGAUUAAGUAUGCAUUGGUGAAAUUUUCAGAGUUUGUGGUCCUGAUACAGUGACCAAGAAUUUGAAAGAUAUUCAAGGACCUGCCUUAGCUAUUGUUCUUGAACGACUGAAGCACUCUGGGACUUUUCAAG